AUAAGGUAACUGUAUUUUCACUUGAGCGUUGAAGCCGCUACAGUGAGGAGCGCUCAAGAGGAAUUGCGCUUGCGCAUACUUACGUCAUUAGUCGCUCAUUUUCCGUGUGAUCGACUGCACAAUAUUGGCAAAUAAUUUGCUUUAUUUUUUAUUAUUUACAUUAUGUGCUAGGAUUUAGUGACAGUGUCUGAAGUCUAUUUAUUAGUUAACACUGAGUACAACACAAAAUGGGCCUGUGUCUUUCAUUUGAUUGUGGGGAUUGUGAUGGUUGCGUCAAUCCAUGUUGCUUGGCCCUGAGUGCUUGUUGCUUAAUACCGUGCCUAUGCCCCAACGCCUGCGGUGAUCAGAACAGGAAUCAACCACCAACUGUCAUCGUUCAACAGCCUCCUGUUGUAAUAGACCAGCAACAACCAGGUUACCCCUAUCCCCCUCCGGGAGGAUACCCUCCAGGAAGUUACCCGCAAGGGGGAUACCCUCCGCCUCCUCCAGGCGGUUACCCUCAAUAUCCCGGAUACCCACCUCAAGGCGGUUAUCCCCAUCCAAUGCAAAGAUAGUCUGAAACUAGGAUAAGAUCUUAUAUUAUUUAAAUAAGAAUGGGUUGCAACAUAUCGUGUCGUCCGUGCUGCUGUUGCUGCAUCCCCUGUCUGUGCUGCGACUGCUGCUCGGACCCGCCGCCACGUACUACGGUUGUUCACACCACCCACGUCGUUCAAUCGCCUCCGGUCACCGUGAUACGUCAUGAACCUCCUCCCGCAUACAGAUAACAUUAAAAACAAAUAAAUAUGGGAUAUAACGACCCAAAAUAAAUUUAAAUUUAUUGGCCAACAAAAAAUACAUUGUUAUUCUUAAUACACAUAAAUUAAUACAUUGAGGCGUUGAAUGUUAUAGUUUCUUUUAAACUUAGAAUGUACUAUUUUGUUAUACAGGGGUAUACCCCGGCCGCUUAGUGUUUGCGUUCCUGACGUCUUUAAAUUCGUCAUGACUAUUGACUAGUAAUGUACAAUAAAUAAUAUUAAUUAUAUUGAGUAACGUUGUUUAUAACAUUCAUUGUAUUUAUUUAUGUAAAUCAAUGUAUAUAUAUGUAUAAUUUUUAAUAAAUUAUUAUGGUAUUAAGCUUACUAAAAUGUAGUCUGACAAGUCAAGUCAUGUUUUAAAGACUAUUAUUUUUAUUAUAUUUUUUAAUUACGUAUAUAUUUAUAAACUUAAAGUUUAGUAACGUAACGUAAUACGUUUAUUAUCAAAUACAUAAAAUUUUGCAGUAAAUUUUUGAGAGUUCAAUUUUACAUGGCCAAUCACGAUCUGUCAGAAACGUAAUCUCUAAAUGGCCGGGCUAUAGUAUUACUUGGAAAGUCGAUACUUAAACAAUAAUUGGAUCCAAGAGGGUUUAAAAAUAUAACUUUAACCUGCCACAGUAGGUAUAUAUCACAAGUCAUAUUUUUAAAUAUUUUAGAUAAAAUUUAAAGAACUAUGUAUAAUGAAAAUUGUUCAUGACGAGUUAAAAAUGUCACAUGAUGUAGGUAUAUAUAAUGUUGACCCUUUCAUAGCUUUUUAAGAAUGUUCUUUCAUAAUAAAUGUUACCUGUUUA
Molecule: long non-coding RNA, 1585 nt
Organism: Danaus plexippus (monarch butterfly)
Lineage: Eukaryota; Metazoa; Arthropoda; Insecta; Lepidoptera; Nymphalidae
Exons: 3
Source: RefSeq, a predicted model, not a curated record